This 506-nucleotide ribosomal RNA is filed under the name uncultured bacterium. RNAcentral's name for it is "partial 16S ribosomal RNA". It matches the Rfam family "Bacterial small subunit ribosomal RNA", at positions 29 to 522 of the family's 1533-position model. The record is from RNAcentral.
AGUGAACGCUGGCGGUAGGCCUAACACAUGCAAGUCGAACGGCAGCACAGGAGAGCUUGCUCUCUGGGUGGCGAGUGGCGGACGGGUGAGAAAUACAUCGGAAUCUACUUUUUCGUGGGGGAUAACGUAGGGAAACUUACGCUAAUACCGCAUACGACCUACGGGUGAAAGCAGGGGACCUUCGGGCCUUGCGCGAUUGUAUGAGCCGAUGUCGGAUUAGCUAGUUGGCGGGGUAAAGGCCCACCAAGGCGACGAUCCGUAGCUGGUCUGAGAGGAUGAUCAGCACACACUGGAACUGAGACACGGUCCAGACUCCUACGGGAGGCAGCAGUGGGGAAUAUUGGACAAUGGGCGCAAGCCUGAUCCAGCCAUACCGCGUGGGUGAAGAAGGCCUUCGGGUUGUAAAGCCCUUUUGUUGGGAAAGAAAUCCAGCUGGCUAAUACCCGGUUGGGAUGACGGUACCCAAAGAAUAAGCACCGGCUAACCUCGUGCCAGCCGCCGCGUAA